Molecule: ribosomal RNA, 515 nt
Filed under: uncultured soil bacterium
Lineage: Bacteria
Description: bacterial SSU rRNA
Rfam family: Bacterial small subunit ribosomal RNA
Source: RNAcentral
AGAGUGAACGCUGGCGGUAGGCCUAACACAUGCAAGUCGAACGGCAGCACGGUAAGAGCUUGCUCUUAUGGGUGGCGAGUGGCGGACGGGUGAGGAAUACAUCGGAAUCUACCUUUUGGUGGGGGAUAACGUAGGGAAACUUACGCUAAUACCGCAUACGCCCUUCGGGGGAAAGCCGGGGACCAGCAAUGGCCUGGCGCUGAUAGAUGAGCCGAUGUCGGAUUAGCUAGUUGGUGAGGUAAUGGCUCACCAAGGCGACGAUCCGUAGCUGGUCUGAGAGGAUGAUCAGCCACACUGGAACUGAGACACGGUCCAGACUCCUACGGGAGCAGCAGUGGGGAAUAUGGACAAGUGGGCGCAAGCCUGAUCCAGCCAUACCGCGUGGUGAAAGAACGGCCUUCGGUUGUAAAGUCCCGUUUUAGUUAGGGAAAGAAAGCUAGUUACGGUUAAUAACCCGGUUGUUACGUGACGUACCAAAGAAUAAGCACGGCUAAGUUCGUGCCAGCAGCCGUACG